This 216-nucleotide unclassified non-coding RNA is filed under the name soil metagenome. Its description in RNAcentral is "partial contains 5.8S ribosomal RNA, internal transcribed spacer 2, and large subunit ribosomal RNA". The record is from RNAcentral.
AACGGUCUAUACCUGCGGUACCUGCGGAGGGAUCAUUACCGAGUUUACAACUCCCAAACCCAUGUGAACAUACCUAUUGUUGCUUCGGCGGGAUUGCCCCGGGCGCCUCGUGUGCCCCGGAUCAGGCGCCCGCCUAGGAAACUUAACUCUUGUUUUAUUUUGGAAUCUUCUGAGUAGUUUUUACAAAUAAAUAAAAACUUUUAACAAUGGAUCUCU